GAGUAAUGUCUGGGAAACUGCCUGAUGGAGGGGGAUAACUACUGGAAACGGUGGCUAAUACCGCAUAACGUCGCAAGACCAAAGAGGGGGACCUUCGGGCCUCUUGCCAUCAGAUGUGCCCAGAUGGGAUUAGCUUGUUGGUGAGGUAACGGCUCACCAAGGCGACGAUCCCUAGCUGGUCUGAGAGGAUGACCAGCCACACUGGAACUGAGACACGGUCCAGACUCCUACGGGAGGCAGCAGUGGGGAAUAUUGCACAAUGGGCGCAAGCCUGAUGCAGCCAUGCCGCGUGUAUGAAGAAGGCCUUCGGGUUGUAAAGUACUUUCAGCGGGGAGGAAGGUGUUGCGGUUAAUAACCGCAGCAAUUGACGUUACCCGCAGAAGAAGCACCGGCUAACUCCGUGCCAGCAGCCGCGGUAAUACGGAGGGUGCAAGCGUUAAUCGGAAUUACUGGGCGUAAAGCGCACGCAGGCGGUCUGUCAAGUCGGAUGUGAAAUCCCCGGGCUCAACCUGGGAACUGCAUUCGAAACUGGCAGGCUUGAGUCUUGUAGAGGGGGGUAGAAUUCCAGGUGUAGCGGUGAAAUGCGUAGAGAUCUGGAGGAAUACCGGUGGCGAAGGCGGCCCCCUGGACAAAGACUGACGCUCAGGUGCGAAAGCGUGGGGAGCAAACAGGAUUAGAUACCCUGGUAGUCCACGCCGUAAACGAUGUCUACUUGGAGGUUGUGCCCUUGAGGCGUGGCUUCCGGAGCUAACGCGUUAAGUAGACCGCCUGGGGAGUACGGCCGCAAGGUUAAAACUCAAAUGAAUUGACGGGGGCCCGCACAAGCGGUGGAGCAUGUGGUUUAAUUCGAUGCAACGCGAAGAACCUUACCUGGUCUUGACAUCCACGGAAGGUCUCAGAGAUGAGACUGUGCCUUCGGGAGCCGUGAGACAGGUGCUGCAUGGCUGUCGUCAGCUCGUGUUGUGAAAUGUUGGGUUAAGUCCCGCAACGAGCGCAACCCUUAUCCUUUGUUGCCAGCGGUUAGG
This 1025-nucleotide ribosomal RNA is filed under the name Salmonella enterica subsp. salamae. RNAcentral describes it as "bacterial SSU rRNA". It matches the Rfam family "Bacterial small subunit ribosomal RNA", at positions 108 to 1129 of the family's 1533-position model. Lineage: Bacteria; Pseudomonadati; Pseudomonadota; Gammaproteobacteria; Enterobacterales; Enterobacteriaceae. The record is from RNAcentral.